GUCUCGUUAGCUCAGGUGGUAGAGCAACUGACUUUUAAUCAGUGGGUCGUAGGUUCGAGUCCUACACGAGACA
Molecule: non-coding RNA, 73 nt
Organism: Erysipelothrix rhusiopathiae str. Fujisawa
Lineage: Bacteria; Bacillati; Bacillota; Erysipelotrichia; Erysipelotrichales; Erysipelotrichaceae
Source: Rfam